UCGAGUUCGGGUCUUUCAGGCCCAACCUCCAACCCCCAUGUUUAUCUUCUCUGUUGCUUUGGCGGGCCGUGGCUUCGUGCCCCGCCGGCUUCGGCUGGUGCGCGCCCGUCAGAGACCCAUUUUAAACCCUUUUUUAAACGACAAGUCUGAAUUUAAAAACAAAAUAAGCAUAA
RNAcentral lists this unclassified non-coding RNA (173 nucleotides) under uncultured fungus. RNAcentral's name for it is "sequence contains ITS1, 5.8S rRNA gene". The record is from RNAcentral. Lineage: Eukaryota; Fungi.